This 253-nucleotide ribosomal RNA is filed under the name uncultured bacterium. RNAcentral's name for it is "partial 16S ribosomal RNA". It matches the Rfam family "Bacterial small subunit ribosomal RNA", at positions 524 to 776 of the family's 1533-position model. The record is from RNAcentral.
UACAGAGGGGGCAAGCGUUGUUCGGAAUUACUGGGCGUAAAGGGCGCGUAGGCGGCCUUCUAAGUCGAACGUGAAAUCCCCGGGCUCAACCCGGGAACUGCGUCCGAUACUGGAAGGCUUGAAUCCGGGAGAGGGAUGUGGAAUUCCAGGUGUAGCGGUGAAAUGCGUAGAUAUCUGGAGGAACACCGGUGGCGAAGGCGACAUCCUGGACCGGUAUUGACGCUGAGGCGCAAAAGCCAGGGGAGCAAACGGG